CCCGWACYKCUCCUACGGGAGGCAGCAGUGGGGAAUUUUGCACAAUGGGGGAAGCCCUGUUGCAGCGACSCCGCGUGAUUUAGAAGGCCUUCGGGUUGUAAAAAUCUUUUCUAUGGGAAGAAAAUGACAGUACCMUAGGAAUAAGGACCGGCUAAUUACGUGCCRGCRGSSGSGGUAAUACGUAAGGUCCGAGCGUUGUCCGGAAUCAUUGGGCGUAAAGGGUACGUAGGCGGGUAAGCAAGUUAGAAGUGAAAUCCUAUAGCUCAACUAUAGUAAGCUUUUAAAACUGCUCAUCUUGAGGUAUGGAAGGGAAAGUGGAAUUCCUAGUGUAGCGGUGGAAUGCGCAGAUAUUAGGAGGAAUACCGGUGGCGAAGGCGACUUUCUGGCCAUAACCUGACGCUGAGGUACGAAAGCGUGGGUAGCAAACAGGAUUAGAUACCCUGGUAGUCCACGCCGCAAACGAUGAGUGUUAGGUGUCUGGAGUAAAUCUGGGUGCUGCAGCUAACGCAUUARACACUCCGCCUGGGGAGUACGCGCGCAAGCGUGAAACUCAAAUGAAUUGACGG
This 566-nucleotide ribosomal RNA is filed under the name uncultured Anaerococcus sp. RNAcentral's name for it is "bacterial SSU rRNA". It matches the Rfam family "Bacterial small subunit ribosomal RNA", at positions 327 to 916 of the family's 1533-position model. Lineage: Bacteria; Bacillati; Bacillota; Tissierellia; Tissierellales; Peptoniphilaceae. The record is from RNAcentral.